GUCUCCCCCCUCCUCCUUCCUCCCGCCCGCACCCCCCACCAUCGCCGCACCCCGGCGGGCACUGCCCUAAUCGGAUCCAACCAUGAUAUCCGAGACGCAGUGCGCCCCGCUCCGGCGAUAUUCCCCAAAUACUCUCAUUGCAGAGCGCGAUGGCGAGAUCUGGCGGCAAGCGAGGCGUGAUGGAGCACCACUGCCUGAACCGAUUCCGCCGCCGGCGACUCCUCGCCUUCCUCCGCCGCAACAGCCUCCCCGCCACCUUCGACGCGCUGAAGCACGAGACGAGCGUCUUCUUGGACGUGCGAUUCCUGCGGCGCCUGGUGGCGGACGGCCGGUGGAAGGAGGCGCGAAAGUACUUGAGCCACUUCCUGCCGUGCCAGGACGAGAUCGAGGUGCCCACCGCGCUCAGUUUUCUCACUCGCCUCAACGUUCUCGACGACCUCGCCCAGGGCAAGCUGGAGGGCAUCGAUUUGGCCCAAGAUCUCCGGAACCAAAUCGACGCUAUCCCUUCCACCAUGUUUCGCGAGGACCCGCACUACGCCUCGGCUGCCCGCACAGUCUUGUUCUGGCGCUCUCACCCGGCAAACUGGGGUCCCGUGGACUGGCAGCUCAUUAGGCGCAAAGCCGCGCAGGUUGUCAAGGACUUGGUCACGCGAACCCCCGAGUUCAGGCAUCUGCUGCGGUUGCCGCCGUGUCCAAGCCACCCAUGUUACACCAUCCCCUUCGGGUUUGGGGGUUGCCGGAGGCAUAAGAGGAAGAAGAACAUAGGCCGGAUGUCGGCAUCUCUUCUUGCCCGUCGUUUUCUUCACAAAGAGAGGCGUCAUUCCUCACCAUGGACUCAAGGUUCAUCGUGUGAACCUAUGGGUUUCGAGGAAAUUAUUGAUGAAACUAUGUUAGCUGGGAAGCUGGAGGUCAUAGAACAUUCAGAUUCUUGUAGUGAAGGCGAUCCUGGUUCUCCUGUUGGGUUAUCUAUUGGUAAAAGUUUUGGAACUGCACCUGCUAAUGCAGUCACAAAGCGUUUGAGUCAAGAAUGUUCCGCUGAAAGUUCCAAUGGUGCAAAACUAAAACCUACAACUGGGCAGUUUUGUCCGGAUGUCGUCGAUGCACGUUCUGGUUGGACGGUGGACGCCAAUCAUGUUUUAAAUAAAAUAGAAGCCCUCGGAGACAUUUCAACUGCCAUGGCCAUGCUAGUGAAUAAGACAUGCACAUAUGGUGGUCCAGAUCACACGAUGUUCAUGGAGAAAAUAUUUGAGCACGAGAAGAUGAUAUUCGAACUGCGAUUAGAUUGCCAAAAAGCAAAAACUAAGAGGUUGAACUUCUCCAUUGGCAACUUGAGCACCCGACAGAACUAGAAACUCUUAGCCGCUGCAUCUAUUGAUCCACCUUGGUUUUGUUCUUUUGUACUUGCUACAAGUUAUGGUGUAUUGUUUUCUUAUACGCUUUACCAGAAGAGCAAUGGUGUCUUAUCUUUGUUUUUGUAAGAGCAAUGGUAGGACUGUAGAAAGCACGCAGAGUUUCUGCUCCGGGUGAGGCAUUUCC
Molecule: ribosomal RNA, 1536 nt
Filed under: Triticum aestivum (bread wheat)
Lineage: Eukaryota; Viridiplantae; Streptophyta; Magnoliopsida; Poales; Poaceae
Description: partial small subunit ribosomal RNA
Source: RNAcentral